This is a long non-coding RNA of Rhipicephalus sanguineus (brown dog tick), 671 nucleotides long. RefSeq lists it as uncharacterized. NCBI's taxonomy places the organism in Eukaryota, Metazoa, Arthropoda, Arachnida, Ixodida, Ixodidae. The record is from RefSeq and is a predicted model, not a curated record. The transcript has 3 exons.
GUCUAUAUCCCGUACAAAAUCCUUUUGUGUUCGAAAGCUAGGUACCUAGGGAGAGAAUCUCUAGGGAUUUUCGAUGGUGGCGCCGUCACAUCUUGGCGGAGCUUUCUGGAACGCCGCUUCGCCGACCGGUGUCGGCUGUUCCAUGCUGUUCCACGUGUGCAUGUAUGUACGCGCGUUCGUCUCUAGUCUCUGUACCGACGACGAUGACCGCGAGUCGUGCAGCUUUCGUUUCGACAGCGUAGUCCGUGAACCGGUGUCCCGUAGCGACUUCGUCGUGACUGCCUCGGAGAACGUCUAGUACUGCCUUUGCUUGAUUGACGGACGUCGAGGGCGAAACAGAGCGAAGGUGCUUGCAAUGCGCUGCCUUGCCACCACAAGAGCAACACACUAGGAUGACUAAAGGACGUAACACUUCUGGACGGGAAUUACAUGUUCAAGAAUUGUUUUGAAAUGUACAAGGAAGAUAUUGGCAUUCUCCUUGCGCCAUCAGCCGUUCAACAUCUGCGAGCUGCAAAGGCUCUCCUGUAUGACAAGGAAGCAAUAGACGCGGCAUUCGCAAUGCUCAUUUUAUGUGCUUCCAAGGGAUGCGGCCAAAGGACGACCUGCGGAUGUGCGAGUCACGUUUAUGGGAGCUGCAAAAAAGAAUUAAAGUGUAUCCCCAGUGUUUGUUA